Molecule: ribosomal RNA, 253 nt
Filed under: uncultured bacterium
Lineage: Bacteria
Description: partial 16S ribosomal RNA
Rfam family: Bacterial small subunit ribosomal RNA
Source: RNAcentral
UACAGAGGUGGCAAGCGUUGUUCGGAAUUACUGGGCGUAAAGGGCGCGUAGGCGGGCGGCCAAGUCAGGGGUGAAAGCCCCCAGCUCAACUGGGGAAGUGCCUCUGAUACUGGUCAUCUCGAGGGAGAUAGGGGCGUGCGGAACUUCCGGUGGAGCGGUGAAAUGCGUAGAUAUCGGAAGGAACACCGGUGGCGAAAGCGGCGCGCUGGAUCUCUUCUGACGCUGAGGCGCGAAAGCCAGGGGAGCGAACGGG